CUCCCACCCCUAUCUUUUUUUCAGCCGCCACCAACAGCCUCCUCUUCCUCCCCACGCUCUCCUUUAUCCUUCUGCCGUGCAGCACCUCUGCUCCCCUUUCCAUGGUGCCCAGCAGGAACUCCAUGGCCAGCCGCCCCUCUUCUGCUCGGCCAACUCUGGGUAAGCGGCGCCAUGGGUACAACUUCUCCUCUACCUGUGAUCCGGCCAGCGGUCACGGCGUCCGAGUUCCCUGCGAGCUCUUCUCUGCCCCUGCGUUAUCCAUGGCUGCGAGCUAUCCCUGGCGCACCUUACCUCUGGCCGGCACCCUGCACAGCAUCCCCCUCCCCAGGCUCCUAGCGCAGGGCAUUUCUCUAGGUCCGAGCUCGAGCAGGUGGGCUCGCCCCAUGGCCUGGGCUCCUUGUUCGCUUCCUGCACGUACGCUCCCUCUCCCAUAUGGCUUCCUGCCCUUCUCAAGUCCGGCCAUCCCCACCUUGCCGUGGAUUCCCUCGAGCAGUCCCAUCUGGCCGCCAUCCUCCCAGAUCGAGUUUCCCCUUUUUUUGUGCAGCUCACCAUCUCCCCCUGCGCGCGCUGGCUAGAUGCCAUUCGAGCUCCGGUCUGCAACUCCCUCUCGCUGCUUCCCUUGAACGCCGGAGCUCCAAGGCCGCACCCCCGUCCCCAUGGCCGACCAGCAAACUUCGAUGGUCGAGCCCUCCUUUCUUCCUUCUCUGUUCCAGAUCGGCAUUGGGGCAGUGCGCGCAAGGUUCUCCCAGCCGUGGACAGCACCCUUCCCUCCCUCGGAUGCCCUGCUCGCCCCAGCCAGGGACCAUCGCGCAGAGCGCCGUCGGCCUCUUGAGCGCGCUCUCCAUUGCUCCGGCGUUUCCCCCUGCUGUUUCCUGCGCCCAGUUUUUCUCGUCGUGAGCAGCAGCCCCCAACGCCUCCGCGCGGCUCGCUGCUUUGUUCUGCGCAGUGAACAGCACGCCGUCGACGCCCGCCGUGUGCUCGCUGUUUUGCGCAGCCCCCAAUAGUGCCGUCGAAACUCGUGCUAACGGUCGACGUCGCGCUUCGCGCCCUGCCCAUUCGAUGAAGCGUCGAGCCUUGUGGACAGUCCAUGCGGCUAAAUCCCGACUCGUUCAGGACCGAGAGAUGAUGAUCGAGCCAGUGAUGUGGUGCCACCCACAAGAUGCAGUUGGUGGACGACCUGAAGAAUGGUGGACUUACCCAGUAGAUGCUCGCCAAGCGAAUACCUCCCCCAGCAAACACUACCUAAGUGUUAAAUUAAAGAGGUCUUCCUAGCCGCUGCGGGUCUGCCUCGCGUCGCCACUGCACCGACCCGCCACAGCCCCACUAGCCUGACUCCACCGCCACCCUAGAGGAUGGAGGACCGUGAGUGGAUGUACACGGGCCGCGUUCGACGUAAUGAUGUCACCCCAGAAUGGAUUAGGAAGACCGAUGCUUUCGUGGAACGGGCAUAUGGCGAAGCUGCUAAAGGAGCUAGCCUAGUCCCUUGUCCGUGCAGCAAAUGUGACAACCGGAAAAGAAAACCAAAGAAGACCAUGGUAGAACAUAUUUGGAAGAAUGGAUUUACGCCGGACUAUACUCGGUGGAUCUUCCAUGGUGAAGCGCAUCGCACGAGAGAGGAGGUGGUGAGACAACGCGUCGAGGAUUACGAUGCUGAUGCCGGGGUAGCAGACAUGUUGAACGACUAUCACGAGGCACAGUUCGCCGAAGGAUGUACGGAGGACGAGCCAGAGGCGACCGCAAAGGCAUUCUACGACAUGUUUGACGCGGCACAGAAACCCCUUCACGGCAAGACAAAGGUUUCUCAACUGGAUGCCAUUGGGCGUAUAAUGGCGUUCAAGUCGCAGUAUAGCAUGAGUCGAGACGCCUUCGAUGGUUUGUUGACAGUUAUUGGCAGCCUGCUUCCGGAGGAUCACGUUCUCCCAAAGAGCAUGUACGAGGCACAGAAACUCCUUCGUGCACUCAAGAUGACGUAUGAGCAGAUACAUGCUUGUCUGAAGGGCUGCGUCCUAUUUAGGAAAGAACACACUGAGGCAAAGUACUGUCCGAAGUGUAAAUCGUCUAGGUUCAUGGAGGUAGACUCUGGUGAUGGAAAGAAGAGGCAGCUCGACAUCCCCGUGACAAUCCUACGCCACCUUCCGUUCAUACCGAGGAUCCAGCGUCUAUACAUGACAGAGGAAUCCGCGAAACAGAUGACAUGGCACAAAAAAGGCAAACGAUACAAUCCUGACAAGAUGGUUCACGCAUCCGAUGGUGAAGCAUGGACCCAAGAAGAUGGGCUCGAAGGGCAAUUUGAGAUAGACUUAACCGAAGCGAUCGGAAUGGAAGUAGAUAUUGAAAUGGUUGUUGAUGACGAGGAUGAUGAGGUGCAAAAUGAGAAUGACUUAGAAAUACUUGAAGGCAAUGCCAAUGAAGAAAUUGCGCCUUCAGAUGAUGUCGACUAUGAAAUGGUUGAUAGUGAUGAUGACACUUAUGAUCCGGCUAACCCGGACACAUAUGAAGAUUAUUUUUAAUCGAUGUUGUUGGACAAAGAUGGUGGGCGGUGGGACGAGGACGAGGAGGGGGAGGGGGAGGGGGAGGAGGAGCACCCGUAGGACGGAGGAGGAGGCGCAGCAGGACGACGCCGUACAGCAGCAGGUGGAGCAGCAAGCCGCUGUCGAUGCGGCACAGCAGGAC
Molecule: unclassified non-coding RNA, 2673 nt
Filed under: Zea mays
Lineage: Eukaryota; Viridiplantae; Streptophyta; Magnoliopsida; Poales; Poaceae
Description: misc RNA Zm00001eb382590
Source: RNAcentral